GGGUUCGAGGAGGCGGUUCAGAGCUUCCUGGACCGUGACAGGGAGGGGCUUGUGAAAGUGCUGUGCAUCUGGAGGGUGGACCCCAAAGGCCUACGCUACCAAAGGGGCAGCAAGGCCUAUUGCCUCACGGUCAUUCAAACUGCUUCUGACCACAAGGAGAAGGAGAGAGUGCUUUCUUUCCCACAGCGCCCCCUGCUGUUGCUGUGCUGCAGCGUGUUCCCCCAGCAGGCUCAGGCUGAGGCUUACACCCGUGCUCACAUACCUGAGCAUGCAGCAGAGAGCAUCGUGGAUGUUUUUGCCCCGGUCCGUAACAUCUUGACAGGGG
Megalops cyprinoides (Indo-Pacific tarpon) is the source of this 325-nucleotide long non-coding RNA. RefSeq lists it as uncharacterized. NCBI's taxonomy places the organism in Eukaryota, Metazoa, Chordata, Actinopteri, Elopiformes, Megalopidae. The transcript has 3 exons. The record is from RefSeq and is a predicted model, not a curated record.